Molecule: long non-coding RNA, 788 nt
Organism: Seriola aureovittata
Lineage: Eukaryota; Metazoa; Chordata; Actinopteri; Carangiformes; Carangidae
Exons: 3
Source: RefSeq, a predicted model, not a curated record
GUGACAAAGAUGCUCGCUGGUGCUGCUUCUGAAACAGCUGCCUGGGUUACCAUUGUUGGUACGUUGGCUUUCCAGGAGUGGCGGCCGGAUUGACCACACCGCAUCUUAGAGGAGGACCUCCAGAGGUACCUGCCGUCUCAUUGAGGCAUAGUGGUCUCAGCUGGAGGGGAAGCACAGGAUGCUCGGCCUGACUGUUGCCAAGGUGAUGAGGAUCUCCUGGAAGGCUCCACUGUUGCAGGAGGACACAUGGGGCAGAUGAGACGGCCCUCCUCAUCCAGGAUCUCCACGUCACCCUGGACAUCCCUUUGCUGGAUUCUCUCCACAUCCAGGACAUAUGGAGUACAAAGACGCGCCACCUCAGCUGCAUUCAGGAACCAGCAGGUGUGCAGCUGUACACAGAGACUGGUAGGCUGACAAAGGGCGGGUCAGCCUUCUAGUUUCCACCUUAACCACUUCAUCCCAGCCAGUGCCAAGUACUUCCAAGCUCCUGGCAAAACCUGCCAGAGCAGGAGAAAUAGCAAGUUGUCUUCCCUCCCAGAUCCGCAGAGCUGUCUUCUUGGACUGAACUCGGGCCCUGCAAACUGAGCCAGUGUUAGCCACCUGGUGGAGGCCAUUUUUACAACCAGCUCUGCCGUCUUCACCCAGUGGCCACGUCAUUCAGAGCGACCGUGAGGACUUGGUGGUCAUUCAUUCUCAAGGAUUAUGUGGCUAUUAGAGAGGCAGUGCUGGCCAGCCUGAGGUUGAUGCCUCAGACCAACAUCCAUCUCUUUGAAUUAAAUUGAGGACUC